RNAcentral lists this ribosomal RNA (486 nucleotides) under uncultured bacterium. RNAcentral's name for it is "partial 16S ribosomal RNA". It matches the Rfam family "Bacterial small subunit ribosomal RNA", at positions 30 to 507 of the family's 1533-position model. The record is from RNAcentral.
AUUGAACGCUGGCGGCAUGCCUUACACAUGCAAGUCGAACGGCAGCACGGGUGCUUGCACCUGGUGGCGAGUGGCGAACGGGUGAGUAAUACAUCGGAACAUGUCCUGUAGUGGGGGAUAGCCCGGCGAAAGCCGGAUUAAUACCGCAUACGAUCUACGGCUGAAAGCGGGGGACCUUCGGGCCUCGCGCUAUCGGGUUGGCCGAUGGCUGAUUAGCUAGUUGGUGGGGUAAAGGCCUACCAAGGCGACGAUCAGUAGCUGGUCUGAGAGGACGACCAGCCACACUGGGACUGAGACACGGCCCAGACUCCUACGGGAGGCAGCAGUGGGGAAUUUUGGACAAUGGGCGAAAGCCUGAUCCAGCAAUGCCGCGUGUGUGAAGAAGGCCUUCGGGUUGUAAAGCACUUUUGUCCGGAAAGAAAUCCUUGGCCCUAAUACGGUCGGGGGAUGACGGUACCGGAAGAAUAAGCACCGGCUAACUACGUG